CACGAGUUUGAUCCUGGCUCAAGAACGAACGCUGGCGGCAUGCCUAACACAUGCAAGUCGAACGAGACCUUCGGGUCUAGUGGCGCACGGGUGCGUAACACGUGGGAAUUUGCCUCGGGGUAUGGAAUAACUCAGGGAAACUUGAGCUAAUACCAUAUAAUGUCUUCGGGCCAAAGAUUUAUCGCCCUGAGAUAAGCCCGCGUAGGAUUAGCUAGUUGGUGGGUAAAGGCUCACCAAGGCGACGAUCUUUAGCUGGUCUGAGAGGAUGAUCAGCCACACUGGGACUGAGACACGGCCCAGACUCCUACGGGAGGCAGCAGUGGGGAAUAUUGGACAAUGGGCGAAAGCCUGAUCCAGCAAUGCCGCGUGAGUGAUGAAGGCCUUAGGGUUGUAAAGCUCUUUUACCCGAGAUGAUAAUGACAGUAUCGGGAGAAUAAGCUCCGGCUAACUCCGUG
This 455-nucleotide ribosomal RNA is filed under the name uncultured bacterium. RNAcentral's name for it is "bacterial SSU rRNA". It matches the Rfam family "Bacterial small subunit ribosomal RNA", at positions 1 to 507 of the family's 1533-position model. The record is from RNAcentral.